GACAGAGGGUGCUAGCGUUGUUCGGAAUUACUGGGCGUAAAGGGCGCGUAGGCGGUCCGCUAAGUUCGGCGUGAAAGCCCCUGGCUCAACUGGGGAACUGCACUGGAUACUGGCGGACUCGAGUACCGGAGAGGAGAGUGGAAUUCCUGGUGUAGCGGUGAAAUGCGUAGAUAUCAGGAGGAACACCGGUGGCGAAGGCGGCUCUCUGGACGGAUACUGACGCUGAGGCGCGAAAGCGUGGGGAUCAAACAGG
Molecule: ribosomal RNA, 253 nt
Filed under: uncultured prokaryote
Description: partial 16S ribosomal RNA
Rfam family: Bacterial small subunit ribosomal RNA
Source: RNAcentral